ACUGCCAAAGCUCCCAGCUGCUCUUAUUUGUUUAAGUUUAACCUUAGCUGAUCCACUGGAAAAGGAAACAGGCUAGUUUGUCAAGCCAGGAGACAGCUGCUGCUCUCUAGAAACCUUUCUUAUACUCUAGAAAUCGGACACUGCUAGUUCCUGAGGCUAGCUACUACCACACUUUCAAAACCUUCUGCUCUGAAGGAGCAUAAAUAAUUGGCCAAGUCCAUUUCUCCCACCAGUACCCCCCUGGGACACCCCAUGGGAACUUAGUCCUUGUAUGGAUUUACCCUAGUGCCAUCCACAGAGGCAAACACCAGACCUGGCAGCAGGUCCCAUCCCAAAGCUAAUGUGCAGGCAUCUCGUCUCUGUAGGUGGUAGCUACUCUGCAUGCAUGGAAUCAAACUCCCUGAUCCAUCCAAACGGCCCAGGAACUGUUCACGAGGCUGGAGCUCUGCAGAACUGAGUGUGUGGGUCCAGCGCUUCCACAGAGGAGCCAUCUGUGGCUCUGGAAUGGUGUGCUCUGCCCAAGGUGGCUGGGCAAACUUUCACAGGACGGGAUGCUGGCUUUGCUCCUCUCUAGCUGUGUGGCCUUGGCUGUGGUGACAGAUCACCUUGCUGAACAUCUCCAUCUAAAACAGCAGGCUGGACUGCACAACACCCCUUUUCUGUCAUGGCAGUGAGGAGAACCCCGGUUCCAGAUGCAACCCUCUCAGCACUUUCUUGCUAAUACGCUAGCAGCAACAAGGUCCUUACGGAGGCCCAGUGCACCAUGCAAUGGGCAGCUGGGAAGAAGGGGUGUGAGAUGACACCCACGUGAGGUGCUAAAGCAACCACCACAGGAUGGUGGCAGUGUCUCACAGCGCUGCUGCUUCUGGGAAAGCCUCUGCUGACCAACAACCCCAACGACCGGGCAUUCCAGGUGCCCCGCACCACUCAGCUCUAAGCAGGUCUGCAGGGCAGAGGUGGGGCAGUCAACUUACUCACUACGGCCAGGAGUAGAACUCUGAGUGCUCUGGAACUUUAACUCUCAACUCACUCAUCCUGACCCUACAACACAGAUCCUGCGCAGGGGACAAGGCAUAAACAACUUGAAUGAGUUCUUCACUCAUUCGAAAAGAGAGAGCGAGCCCACGCCAGUGAGACAGCAAGUUCCAGUCAGAGUAACUGAAGCCCAAGGAAGUCAUAACUUUACAGCUGCAAAUAGCUACUAUGACAAUGGGUAGCCAGAACAAAGCUGCCCGUGAUCCUGUAUGUUGAGUCCACAGAGAAGGUAAUACAUGACCACCUAACGGAGGCCCAGGCUGUCCCUGGAGAAGAGGAGAGGCUCACGGCAGCAGAAGCUGCAACUGUCCAUAGCUCCUGCCCAAGCUGCACUAACUGCAGGCAUUCAGGAAGAGGCCUGGGUUACAGGAGCACAGGCCCUUGCUCCUCUGCAUCUGCUCCCAGGUUCCUAGUUAACAUCUGUAGGCAGUUGAGAAGCAACAGAACUGGGCCUGCUUGGCUCACCCUGACUGGUAGGUCUCAAAACCCAAGUCAGAGAAUGUUCUGGCUGCUUGCUGGGAGCUGACAAUGGAGGCCUUUAAACAGCCACUCAUUCAUGCCAGCCAUCAAUGAAGAAAGGGAGGCAGAUGCCAAGAGCUCAAUACCAGAGAGAUGCCAGGGAAAGCAGUGGGAGGAGAGAAGAGGUAGGGGUCUGUGCAGGAUGGAGAUCUGCAGAUGCAGGAAGCUCUGUGAGUCACAGAAGGUACAACUUGCAAAUGGUCACAGUUAUGUGAUUUUUUUCCCCCAGGAAAGACAUCCAUACCUGAAAAGCCCAUUGAACCACAAGAACUUUAGCAUGUCUGUCUGUCUGUCCCUCUCUUUGUGUACUGAGAUAGGGUCUUGCUAGGUAGCCCUGGCUAGCUUAGAACUCUGUAGUCCAGGCUACCUCCUAACUUGCCAUCCUGCCACUUAGUGCUGAGAUCACAGCUGCCUGCUGCUAUGCUUGUGGGGGAUCUCAGUUAGCUAACACACUGCUCGUCCCCACAGCUGUGCCUAACCUAGAUAUGGCAGCUUACGUGACUUGACUAUUGCUAGAGUAAAAUACCAUGGCCAAAGUAACUAAUGGAAACAUCCGGGACUCACGCUGUGAACCAUGUGCACGAAGCAAUGAGCGUGAACUGGAGGUGGUGUCAUCUGGAGAUGGUGUCAACUGGAGAUGGCGUGAACUGAAGAUGGUGUGAAUCUUUAAACUUUCAAAGCUCAUCCCGAAGGCCACACGUCCUUCAACAUGGCCAUAUCUCCUAAUUGUCCCAAGCAGUGCUACCAACUGGGACCAAGUACUUAAUCAUCCAAGGCUAUGAAGGACAUCUCAUUCAAACCACCACACGGCUCAAAUCUAUAAUUCAAUUACAAUUCUGAGGCAGGUGGACUGAAUUCCAGGCCAGUCAGACUACAUAGCAAGAGUCUUUUUAAAAAAAAAGCAAGAAAGGAACAUAUUUAAGACACUCCUACACAAAUUAAUAGAUGGAAAGUAACUACUCAAUGUCUAGUUCCCUGCUCCAGGUCUUGCCGCAUACCCCAGGUACCACCCUCCUGCCUCCAACUCCUGAAUGCAGGGGUUGCGCAUGCACUGCUGUGCCUGCCUCCUGAUGGUUUCCUUCUGUUCGGGCAGGUUAAUAAAAAGCCUCGGAGACAAGGAAUUAACAUAACACAGAACCACGAAAGAGACCCUGCACACAUUAUUCGAUAUCUCUGCCUAUUAUUAUCACGACUUUAUGGAAUUGCUGAGAGAACUGAACUGUGGUUGGGGAGCGCUUAGGUCCAUGCCAGGACGCACCAAGCUCGGAUGAGAUGCUAACAUCGUCUAUCCACCGCCACAGCUUCAUUGUAAGACCGACCCCUCCGUCCCUCACAAAGUUCAGCAAAGAGACAACUCAAAACAUGAAAAGCCCCUCUAAGCAUCCCUUAUCUUCUUCAUCCUCUGACCUCUCCAUAAGGGAGGAAGAAGCAGAGAUGUAAAAGGAAGUUUAAAGCCUAAAACUCUGAGGCAGCACCAAGUGGCCGGCUACAUGUCCUCACUGACUCUGUGAGUGAGUGUGUGUAUCUCUGCCUUCAGGGGCCUGCCCAAGUAAUACAGAGAUGAAGGAGACAUGCCUGGCUCAAUGCAGGAAAAGGAAGGCAGGUUCAGGAAUGGAAUGCAGCGGUGGACCGAUGCUCUGAGGCAGCCUGGCCUGGAUCAAGUUCCUCCUGCUGUGACACCUUCCCUAGCAAGCGACCUUAUGGAUGCCUGGCCUCUCUGCCCCAUGGCUUUGGACAGUUCCUACACUGGGUCUUCACAACCAUUUGCUUUCUCUUCUGCAGCUGCUGCAGUGCUGAGCCUGCUAGAGUCUCAAGGAAGAGCUAAGACUGUCAUUACUCCAGAUUCAUCUCACCCUUCUGCCCCCCCCCCGCCCCCGCCCCCGGGUUCCUUGCUAAGCUCUGCAUCCAGCUUGCUUCCAUGGCUUCCCAACAGGAAGCUCUGCUCUGUGCCCAUGGCACCUUAGGAUUCUUUACACAGAUGCUGAUGCUUCGAGAAGGCACAGGACUCUGAAGGUCCCGGCCAAAAGAGAGUGAGCAGGAGUUCAAACACAAGCCUCUGCCCUGGCCUGGACUUCUUACAUCUUUCUUCUUUCCUGAAAGCUCUGAUGUCACCACCAGAGUGACUGUCUCUUCUGUUCCGGAGGACAUGACACAGUCUCCCAAGAAGGCAGCAAGCAACACAGCCGUCCUAAGGGCUCCCUUCUGUCACCAAGACAGAACCCAGGAACUGUUGUUCCUUGCGAUCUGUCUCAGAGAAGCACGGCCCCAUCAGGAUUUACCAGUGGCCUCCCAAUCACCUGACGCUUUCCUAGUCUUUGUCCUCUAGCUCCGUGUCACUGGACAUAGUGGUAACUGGGCUCACAUGCUUACUUUCCUGCGCUCCCCUGACCUGGACUUUCUAGCCACCUAGGAUAAAGGGCGUGGCUGUUGCUUAGGGCAGCUUCACUCUGUGGUCCAGGCUGAUGUGGAACUUGUGACCAUCUUGUCCUAGCUCCCCAUGCCUAGCCUUUAAGGCUGUUCUUUUUCAAAUUUGCCACCUCUUCAGCAUGAUUGCACUGAAGAGGCAUACCCAGCUUUUGGGGACUACCUUCCCAAGGCUUUCCCCUUCCCGUGUCAAUGGCUAGAAAGUGAACGGACGGCCACCUGGGCUGUGACCAACAGGUCCUGAGAACACAGACUUCCACCCAGCCCUGUGCUCGUCUCUGCUGAGGUCAUUCAGCUCCUGGGAUCUUCAGCAUCUCUCUUAGUCAUCAGGACCACAUUUCUGGGCAUUGUGGGCAUAAUUCACACAGUGUUCUCCUAGAACGCAGGCUGGACACCUCAGCACACAGCCCUGCUCACCCAUACCUGGCCGCACCCCUGUCACCUUACCCCUCAGACUUGUCCCACUCCUUCCUCCUCCCCUGACUUCCUCCUGCCCCUCUGGGAAGAAUCCUGGCUGCAAGCUGUUCCUGCCUCUGGCUUGUUCCAAGCUAAGACUCCCAAUUUCUACCCUUCAGAGCAUGUGGCCCCCAGGCUGCCACCCCACUCCUCAAGUUUCAACAGUACCGCUCUGUCUCUGGAAUAAAGACUGACAUUUGAGAGCCAA
Molecule: long non-coding RNA, 4642 nt
Organism: Mus musculus (house mouse)
Lineage: Eukaryota; Metazoa; Chordata; Mammalia; Rodentia; Muridae
Product: predicted gene, 35290
Exons: 2
Source: RefSeq, a predicted model, not a curated record